UGACCUCGGAUCAGGUAGGGAUACCCGCUGAACUUAAGCAUAUCAAUAAGGC
This 52-nucleotide ribosomal RNA is filed under the name Aspergillus oryzae. RNAcentral describes it as "partial 28S ribosomal RNA". The record is from RNAcentral. RNAcentral also lists the same sequence under 1 other name. Lineage: Eukaryota; Fungi; Ascomycota; Eurotiomycetes; Eurotiales; Aspergillaceae.